GCCCUCGUGAUGAAAUUGGUAGACAUAAAGGACUUAAAAUCCUUGCCCAUUAGGGAGUGCCGGUUCGAGUCCGGCCGAGGGCACCA
RNAcentral lists this transfer RNA (86 nucleotides) under SAR202 cluster bacterium. RNAcentral describes it as "tRNA-Leu". It matches the Rfam family "tRNA". Rfam says of the family: Transfer RNA (tRNA) molecules are approximately 80 nucleotides in length. Their secondary structure includes four short double-helical elements and three loops (D, anti-codon, and T loops). The record is from RNAcentral. Lineage: Bacteria; Bacillati; Chloroflexota; Dehalococcoidia.